RNAcentral lists this ribosomal RNA (515 nucleotides) under uncultured bacterium. RNAcentral describes it as "bacterial SSU rRNA". It matches the Rfam family "Bacterial small subunit ribosomal RNA", at positions 17 to 518 of the family's 1533-position model. The record is from RNAcentral.
UCCUGGCUCAGGACGAAUGCUGGCGGCGUGCCUAAUACAUGCAAGUCGAACGGUCUUUCUAUGGAAGCUUGCUUCCACUGAGAAGAUAGUGGCGAACGGGUGAGUAACACGUGGGUAACAUGCCCGUAUCAGGGGGGAUAAUCCAUGGAAACGUGGUCUAAUACCCCAUAGUAAUUAUGUAAGGCAUCUUAUAUAAUUUAAAGCUUUGGUGGAUACGGAUUGGCUCGCGUGACAUUAGCUAGAUGGUAAGGUAACGGCUUACCAUGGCUACGAUGUCUAGGGGUUCUGAGAGGAAGGUCCCCCACACUGGAACUGAGACACGGUCCAGACUCCUACGGGAGGCAGCAGUGAGGAAUAUUGGACAAUGGAUGGAAAUCUGAUCCAGCCAUGCCGCGUGCAAGGAAGACGGCCCUAUGGGUUGUAAACUGCUUUUGUAUGGGAGCAAUAAGGGCUACGCGUAGUCCGAUGAGAGUACCAUACGAAUAAGCACCGGCUAACUCCGUGCCAGCAGCCGC